GGACUACUGGGGUAUCUAAUCCUGUUUGAUCCCCACGCUGUCGCGCCUGAGCGUCAGAAACGGGCCAGUGAGCCGCCUUCGCCACCGGUGUUCUUCCCAAUAUCUACGAAUUUCACCUCUACACUGGGAAUUCCACUCACCUCUCCCGUACUCGAGCCUGACAGUUUCAAAGGCAAUUCCGGAGUUGAGCUCCGGGCUUUCACCCCUGACUUGAAAGGCCGCCUGCGCGCGCUUUACGCCCAGUAAUUCCGAACAACGCUAGCCCCCUUCGUAUUACCGCGGCGGCUGGCAC
RNAcentral lists this ribosomal RNA (292 nucleotides) under uncultured Alphaproteobacteria bacterium. RNAcentral describes it as "partial 16S ribosomal RNA". Lineage: Bacteria; Pseudomonadati; Pseudomonadota; Alphaproteobacteria. The record is from RNAcentral.